CGUGUCGUGAGAUGUUGGGUUAAGUCCCGCAACGAGCGCAACCCUUGCCCUGUUUUGCCAUCAUUCAGUUGGGAACUAUCAGGGGACCGCCAGCGAUAAGUUGGAGGAAGGUGGGGAUGACGUCCAGUCAUCGUGGUCUUUAUGUCGAGCGCUACUCACGUGCUACAAUGUACGGUACCAAGUGCAUCUAACCCUCGAGGGGGCGCAAAUCACAAAAAACCGGUCUCAGGUCGGA
Molecule: ribosomal RNA, 235 nt
Filed under: uncultured bacterium
Lineage: Bacteria
Description: partial 16S ribosomal RNA
Rfam family: Bacterial small subunit ribosomal RNA
Source: RNAcentral